CUUGGCUAGUGCAGUUCUCUGGAAGAGCUGUGCGGGUUCUCCUCGACUAUGUCAAUCAUGUUCUCAUCUGCUCCAAGCUGAAAAUGGUUCUAAAGAGUCAUAAAGAGUGGGCUGAAAUAUCAGAAAUAUUAGGAAAUCCUCGUUCACUGCAACACCAAUGCAGACUUGCCAUCAGGAGAGAGAUGACUCCACUAAGGUUGGGUGACCCAAAGUUCAUUAACUCAGGUCCUUUCCCACCAGGACUGAAAAGCUACUUGAUGUACAAAGAAUAUGAUUUGUAUGGACGAAUCAUGUAUCAGGAGUGAUGGUCUCUCAGGGUAAAGGUUAAGGAGAAAGCACUUUGAGUUUUAUUCAAAUUAACAUGAGGUUGACAUGACCAGAGGUUUCGCUAGUUGUCCAUCAUGAGUUCAAAACACUUAAAAAUGUGAAUGUUAAGUGUUUUUAACACUUCACAUUGAACACUACAAUGUGAAUUUUGCAUCACUUCCAAAGGACUUUGCCUCCAAAGCAAUGUCUUGGUGCUAGGGCUGGGUAUCGUUCAAAAAUUUUCGAUAUCGAUACCGAUACCUUGACUUCAAUACCGGUUCCUGAACGAUACUUUUUUCGAUACCAAUUUUAUGAAAUCAAUUUGAACAAGAUUACAUUAUCUAAAAAAAAAAAAAAAAACUUUGCUUUUAUUUUUCAGCUUGUUGAUGUUUAUACAAACUCAAAGACUCAUCUCCUGAGCCACUGCACAAAAGAACAAAAUGUAACCAACACAAUAAAUCAGUGCAAAUAGUUUUAAUAAAGCUCAAAUAGUCUUCAGUUUACACAUCUGUUAGGCUACAUUUACACUAGUGCGUGUUCGUUUUAAAACGCAUAGCUCAGACAUAAUCAUGAUUUCUAUUUAUUUUCCACUGAUUUACUGAUGAGCAUUAGCAGCUUCCAGCGCUGUCUGCUUGUGUUCUCUCUUCCAUGAUCGCUGCUCUGACUAAUUAGGAGGUAAUAUCAUAUUUAAUUUAAGCAACAUUACAUGGCCAAAACACACAGACCGCAAUCGGAAGUUAUUACAAACACUCGAUGGUGGUUUAAAGUGAGCUUUGAGUAAAAGCGGAAUAUAAAUCUUAUUUAUUGUCUUAUGUAGCAUGAUGCUACAGUUUGCAUGAAUGGUCACAUAGAACGCGCUUUCGGUCGUGUAACGUUAGUAUGAACGGACAUCUGCAUAUGAUCGGAACUCCACGCAGCUCCCGCGCUACUCUCCAUUGGAAAUGAAUGACUGAAUGACCGGUCUGUUGCUUGUCAUUUGUUGGAGAUAGUGGAAAGCCAGCUUGAAACAUAGUGGAAACGCUAGUAUGACCAGGAUCGUUUUCAUUUUAGAACAUAAACGCACCAGUGAUAAAGUAGCCUUACAUCUAAGGGGGCUGGGACGUUAACCGGUGUUAACUAGUAGGUGUGUUCGACUUGACGCAGACUGACUGUGAAGACCGAUCGGUGUAUUACAGUAUCACGAGAGAUAAAGAGAGCAGACUGCUUCCGCACGCAUUAGAAUCGCUCUCGCGGAUGUCAAACACUGAUCGAUCUGCGCCGCGCCUCUAGUCGAACACACCGGGCUAGUGCUGCAGGCUUGUUGGCUCACUGACACUGAUGAGAUUCACCCCUUAGGUAUCGAAAUUUGGUACCAAACGACGAGACGUUUUUUUGAUACUUGAUGGUAUCAAGGCAUUUCGGUCGGUGCCUAAAAAGUAUCGAACUCGAUACCCAGCCCUACUUGGUGCUAUUUGUGCAAUGAAAUAAUGUUCUAGCUGACAAAAACAUGUUUUUAUCAGAUAAAAAUAAAAAGGUUGAUGCCUGUUCUAUGAAGUCAGACUGCUUUCCACUCAGUACCACCUACUAGUGUACAAUCAAGAUGUUCCAUUUGUUUUCAUUUUAACUUUUAAUACAGCACUUUAUCAAC
Molecule: long non-coding RNA, 1933 nt
Organism: Sinocyclocheilus grahami
Lineage: Eukaryota; Metazoa; Chordata; Actinopteri; Cypriniformes; Cyprinidae
Source: Ensembl